UCCUGGUUCUGAGUCCACAUGGAAGAUGAUCCAUGAAAGGGUAUGCAGUCUUCUGACAUUCCACAGAGCUCAGCAGCACCCAGACAAGAAAGAUUCUACAUCUGAAUUAAAUUAUAUCCUCCAAAGACCAAGCUACCCUCUGAAGAAAUACCCACUGCAUGAACAGAGAUAUUUUUAAGCCGAUGUCUUAUGGGAAAAUGAAAGAAAGCUGAAGGGAGGAUCAUGAAGAACUCACUCACUGAGACAACUGACGCAUCCUUAGAGAAAUGAAGAACAGUUUUUGUUGUCUGUAUUGAGUUACUGGUGUCUAAUCCCCUUUAAAUCAAACCCUGUACUCAGACUUUUUUGGUACCCAGGUAAGAGUUAUUGAUUAAAGCGUUUGCUGUUUGGGGCUCACAUUUUCAUGUCAACCUGGCAAAUUUGCGUUUUCAUUUGUGUUUGUUUUGAGCAUGAAAUAGAAAAUAACAAUAGUUGGGUAGCAGGUGCUUUCCCACUUGGAAAGUACUUAGAACUCUAACAAAAAUGUUAAGAUGCCUUUUCAGGUGUUCUUCAUUUUUGGCAGUGGAUGUGUUUCUGAAAAGUUCUUUCUUCCUUCCUUCUUCCUGCUUUCUUCCUCUCUGUCUCUCCCCCAUCACCACCCCCCACCAACUCAACUUAAAUCUUAUACGAGUUAGAGGACGUUGGUAUUUAGAGGAAUAACCGAAUAAAUCCUCCAGGAAAACUGUGAACCUGA
Molecule: long non-coding RNA, 733 nt
Organism: Galeopterus variegatus (Sunda flying lemur)
Lineage: Eukaryota; Metazoa; Chordata; Mammalia; Dermoptera; Cynocephalidae
Exons: 3
Source: RefSeq, a predicted model, not a curated record